CCUACGGGUGGCAGCAGUGGGGGAUAUUGCACAAUGGGGGGAACCCUGAUGCAGCGACGCCGCGUGGGUGAAGGAGCGUUUCGGCGCGUAAAGCCCUAUUGGUAGAGAAGAAGAUGACUGUACCUGACCAAGAAGCACCGGCUAACUACGUGCCAGCAGCCGCGGUAAUACGUAGGGGGCAAGCGUUAUCCGGAUUUACUGGGUGUAAAGGGGGCGCAGACGGCAUAGCAAGCCAGGUGUGAAAGCCCGGGGCUCAACCACAGGACUGCACUUGGAACUGGAUGGCUAGAGUACAGGAGGGGCAGGUGGAGUUCGUAGUGUAGCGGUGAAAUGCGUAGAUAUUAGGAGGAACACCGGUGGCGAAGGCGGCCUGCUGGACUGUGACUGACGUUGAGGCCCGAAGGCGUGGGGAGCAAACAGGAUUAGAGACCCUGGUAGUC
This 440-nucleotide ribosomal RNA is filed under the name uncultured bacterium. Its description in RNAcentral is "partial 16S ribosomal RNA". It matches the Rfam family "Bacterial small subunit ribosomal RNA", at positions 338 to 795 of the family's 1533-position model. The record is from RNAcentral.